This is a small nuclear RNA of Ictidomys tridecemlineatus (thirteen-lined ground squirrel), 67 nucleotides long. Its record names the gene U5. It matches the Rfam family "U5 spliceosomal RNA". Rfam says of the family: U5 RNA is a component of both types of known spliceosome. The record is from Ensembl. NCBI's taxonomy places the organism in Eukaryota, Metazoa, Chordata, Mammalia, Rodentia, Sciuridae.
GGUUAUUCUGCAGAUCGUAUAAAUCUUUUGCCUUUUACUAAAGAUUUUCUUGGAGAGGAACAACAAC